Molecule: ribosomal RNA, 484 nt
Filed under: uncultured bacterium
Lineage: Bacteria
Description: partial 16S ribosomal RNA
Rfam family: Bacterial small subunit ribosomal RNA
Source: RNAcentral
AUUGAACGCUGGCGGCAGGCCUAACACAUGCAAGUCGAGCGGAUGAAGGGAGCUUGCUCCUGGAUUCAGCGGCGGACGGGUGAGUAAUGCCUAGGAAUCUGCCUGGUAGUGGGGGAUAACGUCCGGAAACGGGCGCUAAUACCGCAUACGUCCUGAGGGAGAAAGUGGGGGAUCUUCGGACCUCACGCUAUCAGAUGAGCCUAGGUCGGAUUAGCUAGUUGGUGGGGUAAAGGCCUACCAAGGCGACGAUCCGUAACUGGUCUGAGAGGAUGAUCAGUCACACUGGAAGUGAGACACGGUCCAGACUCCUACGGGAGGCCGCAGCGGGGAAUAUUGGACAAUGGGCGAAAGCCUGAUCCAGCCAUGCCGCGUGUGUGCAGAAGGUCUUCGGAUUGUAAAGCGCUUUAAGUUGGGAGGAAGGGCAGUAAGUUAAUACCUUGCUGUUUUGACGUUACCAACAGAAUAAGCACCGGCUAACUUCGUG